RNAcentral lists this transfer RNA (77 nucleotides) under Mollicutes bacterium. RNAcentral describes it as "tRNA-Val". It matches the Rfam family "tRNA". From Rfam's summary of the family: Transfer RNA (tRNA) molecules are approximately 80 nucleotides in length. Their secondary structure includes four short double-helical elements and three loops (D, anti-codon, and T loops). The record is from RNAcentral. Lineage: Bacteria; Bacillati; Mycoplasmatota; Mollicutes.
GGGCGAUUAGCUCAGGUGGUUAGAGUGCUACGUUGACAUCGUAGAGGUCAUUGGUUCAAGUCCAAUAUCGCCCACCA